This is a long non-coding RNA of Bombina bombina (fire-bellied toad), 508 nucleotides long. RefSeq lists it as uncharacterized. The transcript is spliced from 4 exons. Lineage: Eukaryota; Metazoa; Chordata; Amphibia; Anura; Bombinatoridae. The record is from RefSeq and is a predicted model, not a curated record.
CUGGGAGGCGGAAUGUCCCGGGGGUUUUCCGGGAGGAAGCUACCGACUUGUUAAAGCUUCUGCUAGGGGGCUGAAACAGCCAUAACACAAAUUGCUACAGGAUGAGUGCGAAGACGCUACAGAGGUCUGUAGAGCGCCCUCUACUGGAAAGCCCACAGGUGUUGCAUACAGCCUACACGACAACCUCAAUAGAAGAACUACAAAUCCCUUGCUGGAAGUGUAUGGACUUUAUCCAUCCUACUUCUACUUCCAUGGGUAGAGAGUUCUUCUCUGGUGUAACAAGUGAGUAAGAGACCAGCGCAUCAGUGCAUGUGAAUGGUGGUAACAUAAGACAUGAAAUGAGGACAACAGAGGAGAGCCAGGGUGUGCAAAUAUAAGCCCUCUGUUCACCUAUCAUGGUUGGGAAUCUCUUCCUCGAGCUCCCAUAAAAUAAGAGCUUAAACCUACACAACCACUAUCUGGACAAUAUGUGAUUGUGGGACCAAUAAAGAUUGUUCAUUUACUGUUA